UUCAUUCUACAAAAAGGAACAGUAGAAAGAUGUUGACAAGGGAUUGAAGCUGUGAAAUCCAGUCAAAUUCAGGUGGCCAAAGUAUACAAGCAUCUUCAGUGAGAACCUCAACAUGUGGCUGAUUUUUCUUCCCAACACAGACAUCUGAGGACAAAGCACUGGGCAAUGGAGACCACACAGGUCUGCAAGCUGCUUUCCAUGUGAAGAACGAUUCCUUGAAAGCUCAUGGUGUCAUCAACAAGCAGUGAUCAAAGGUUGGCUUGAAAAAUUCACACAUGGAAUGGAAAAAAAAAACAUACAAUGGAAAUCUAUCAUUAAAGAUGUUUUGAAGAGAGAGGGGGAAAGAUAGGGGCUUUGUUUUGCAUUUAGG
RNAcentral lists this long non-coding RNA (370 nucleotides) under Mus spicilegus (steppe mouse). RNAcentral describes it as "lncRNA (ENSMSIG00000016458.1)". The record is from RNAcentral. Lineage: Eukaryota; Metazoa; Chordata; Mammalia; Rodentia; Muridae.